RNAcentral lists this ribosomal RNA (253 nucleotides) under uncultured bacterium. Its description in RNAcentral is "partial 16S ribosomal RNA". It matches the Rfam family "Bacterial small subunit ribosomal RNA", at positions 524 to 776 of the family's 1533-position model. The record is from RNAcentral.
UACGGAGGAGGCAAGCGUUAUCCGGAAUUAUUGGGCGUAAAGCGUCCGCAGGUGGCAAAUCGAGUCUGCCGUCAAAGACCGGGGCUUAACCCUGGAAAGGCGGUGGAAACUGAAUUGCUAGAGUGUCGUAGGGGUAGAGGGAAUUCCCGGUGUAGCGGUGAAAUGCGUAGAGCUCGGGAAGAACAUCGGUGGCGAAAGCGCUCUACUGGACGACAACUGACACUCAGGGACGAAAGCUAGGGGAGCGAAUGGG